AAUAUUUAUGUAGAAAACAUCAUCUUAUGUCUUCUAACUUAAAAAACUAAAAGUAUUUCUCGGAUAUAGAUAGUAAUUUUCUCAUAUGAAAUUUUAAACUGUGAAAAAAUCUAAAAAAAAUUUAAAACCAUAUGAUUUUAAAGAAUUAUAAAAUUAACCAAACAGUUGUGGCUCAGUUGGCAGCGCAGGCUGAGUAAGUGAGAAGAGCUCUCGGGUUCGAUCCCCACUAAACACACCAUUUGAGAGGGAUAAAGAGCUUUAAGUCUUUAACUGUGACUACACUCCGAAUCCGGAUUAACCGAAUCCGGAUUAGUCAGGGUCUAAUGCGGUUGCCGGAAAUCGGGUGGUUUAAACCAAAAAAAAGAAUUAUAAAAUUAACAUUUUAAAACCGUAUAAUUUUAAAACUUUAUCAUACUUUUCCGCAUUUUAAGAAAACCGCAUUUUAAGAAAAUGAAGAAAGGGUAGUACUUACGCACACGACGUGGGAGUAUAAAUAACUUCAAGUCAAGGCUGAUACUAUCGACGAAAAGCUCUAGAACGAGCACGACAAAAUCAAAUUUAUUUAUUUCAGAAUUAGCCAGAAAUCACCUGUACCAUCCAAGUUUCCAUAAGAAAACCGCAUUUUAAGAAAAUGAAGAAAGGGUAGUACUUACGCACACGACGUGGGAGUAUAAAUAACUUCAAGUCAAGGCUGAUACUAUCGACGAAAAGCUCUAGAACGAGCACGACAAAAUCAAAUUUGCGACUCCCAAGUUCCAUCAGACCUUUACGUUUGCAACAUGGUUACGUCGUUGCUUGCUUGCUUUGCUUGUGCCCUUUUUGAUUCGUUAAUUCGUUCCGGUUCCUUUGAAAGCUAAUCUGUCUGAAUUCUGCUGCAUUGAAUGCAAAGUCUAGAAGAGGUACGUUGGCAUCACUUAACAGUAACACGCGAGCACCUCUCCAGAGUCACACUGCAUACUCUAGAGUCUAGAGUAACAGUUUUUUUGGCAGCGGCUUUUGUUGGUUCCCUCGUACAUUCAAGAGGAUUUGGUUUUUGUUUAUCUAUUUAUUUAUUUAUUUCAGAAUUAGCCAGAAAUCACCUGUACCAUCCAAGUUUCCAUAUAUAUAUAAAGCGUGGAAUCGUCAUAAUCUCUGACACAACAGAGCAAAGCCAAAAACAAGAUUCAAUGGAGAACCUCGGAGAGUCUCACAUGCAACAAAAGAAAGGAAGAAGAUUGAUACUCUUUCCGCUGCCUUUUCAAGGCCACAUAAACCCAAUGCUUCAGCUUGCAAACAUUCUCUAUUCAAAAGGCUUUUCAAUCACCAUAAUCCACACCAAAUUCAACUCCCCGAAUCGCUUUUCAAUCACCAUAAUCCACACCAACUUCAACUCCCCGAAUCCCUCAAACUACCCUCACUUCACCUUCUGUUCAAUCCAAGACGGCUUGUCAGAAACUGAAGCCUCUACCACGGAUUUUGUGGCCCUUAUUUCAGUACUGCAUGUUAAGUGUGCUGCGCCAUUUCAGGAUUGCUUGGCCAAGUUGCUGUCAAAUGCUGAGGAGAAGGAAGAAGAGCCUAUUGCUUGCUUAAUCACAGAUGCUAGUUGGUUCUUCACUCAUGAUGUUGCUGAAAGCCUAAAGCUCCCCAGGAUUGUGUUAAGGAGUCUCAGUGUCUCUUCCUCUCUUGUUUAUGCUGCCUUACCAGUUCUAAGCCAAAAGGGUUACUUUCCCAUACAAGGUGCAAUUCAAUAACUUCUUGCUUCUAGUGUGUUUCAUUGAUAAUUUUUUCAGUAGGCAUUGUUUGAUUAUUAAAUAUUUGCCCUCGACAGAUCUUCCCUGAGGAUGAUUCAGAUUCUUGUUACAUAAAAAGUAGUUAAAUAAAAUCUGAAGGACACCAAUUCAUAAUAGUAAUGACUAAUGAUCACUGCACUUGGUAUCUAAAUUAUCUUCUUUUUUUAAUUAUUUUUGUUCUUCAUUGUUCAGAUUCUCAUGAUUUGGAAGCCCCAGUGCCAGAGCUUCCGCCUCUAAGAAUGAAAGACAUUCCUGUCAUUGAAACGCUUUAUCAAGAGACACUGCAUCAAUUUGCAGCAGAAGCAAUCAAUCAGAUGAAGGCUUCCUCAGGAUGCAUAUGGAAUUCAGUUCAGGAACUUGAACAAGAUUCUCUUGCUAAAUUUCACCGGGAGUUCCCCAUUCCAUCGUUCCCUAUAGGCCCGUUUCACAAGUACUAUCCAGCUUCUGCAAGUAGCUUAUUGUCACAAGACCGAAUCUGCAUUUCUAGGUUAGACAAACAGGCACCAAAAUCUGUAAUUUAUGUAAGUUUUGGAAGCAUUGCUGCCAUUGAUGAGACCAAAUUUUUGGAAGUAGCUUGGGGCCUAGCCAACAGCAAGGUGCCAUUCUUGUGGGUGGUACGGCCAGGACUAGUCCGCGGAGCAGAAUGGAUUGAGCUAUUACCACGAGGGUUCUUGGAAAUGUUAGACGGAAGAGGGCAUAUAGUGAAAUGGGCUCCCCAGCAAGAAGUGCUAGCUCAUCCUGCCACCGGAGCAUUUUGGACACAUUGUGGCUGGAAUUCGACGUUGGAAAGUAUGUGUGAAGGUGUCCCCAUGAUAUGCCAGCCUUGUCAUGGUGAGCAAAUGGUGAUUGCAAGAUAUGUUAGUGAUGUUUGGAAAGUUGGUUUGCAUUUGGAAAGGAAGCUGGAGAGAGGGGAGGUUGAAAGGGCAAUUAGAAGAGUAAUGGUGGAUGCCGAGGGGCGGGAAAUGAGGAACAGAGCUGAGAUUCUGAAGGAAAAACUGGAUCUUUGUACAAAGCAAGGCAGUUCUUCAUAUCAAUCUCUAGAAAACUUGAUUAGUUACAUUUUGUCAUACUAGAUUUUCCAAUACUUACAUCUAUCUUUCUAAUAAGGGCAGUAUGAAAAUUAAAACAUGGCAUGUCCCGGCCGUAUUCAAUGAGAUCUUUCUGAAUAUUUAUGUGAUCAGCGUUCCCCAACCCAAGGAGUGAAACUUGAAGGACUUAUCCAAAAUCCGUAGCAAGGCCAAGUUUAUAUUGUUUAAGGGGAUUUUUUUUUUUUUGCAAUAAUUGUGGGGUGUUGAAGAAAAAGCUGAUAAGAUAGUGACCUGCACUCUCUUCUAGUCUUCUUGCAUUAACAGUGUCCGAAGUUUGUGCAUUUGUUGGAUAUUUCUGAUCCUUACAGGAAAUCAAAAGUCGGAUUUGUAUUUGUGAGCUGAAUAAAGACGUGAGUUGGUUUGUGUUGCUCUCGUUGUUUAAUUUCCCCUUCUUCAUGUGAAGGAAUGCAUUAUAUUUCAUUUAGCAAUUUAUUAGAUUAUUAAUUAUUGUUGCUCGUUAAACUAAAGUUUCGUUCACCAAUAAAAUAUUUAAUUAACUCAUUGUACGUGUGUACGGCUAAUGAACAACAGUAUAAGUGAGAAAUUAAACAGAAAGCAGGAAGCAGAAAGAUUCAAUGGAGAAUCAAAUAGAGUCACAUACGCAACAAUAAGAACGGAAUAAGAGUGAUACUCUUCGCAUAAGAGUCCAUGCUUCAGCUUGCAAGCAUUCUCUAUUCCAGAGGCUUCUCAGCCUCUGUAAUUCAAUACCAGCUUCAACUCUCCAAAAUCUUCAAACUACGUACCCUCUCUUCUAGUGGAGCUGUGGAGUUCCCCAAAAAAAACCCAUAAUUUUCUAUCCGACCUUUUCCUUUGAUAUGAUUAUUAGUGGAGGAGAAAAAAUGAGUCAGAAACUUUAGAUUAGACAUCUGCAAUUCUGCAUGGGUAACGUAACGUCACUCAUUCAAUAGUUGGGCUAAAGUUUGGAUUCUUAUAAGAGGGCGAGAUAAGCCCAUUGGGCCUAUAAGCUGAUAACACCGCCGAAAAGCUAACUAAAACAGGAGCAGCAAAUCAAAUUAUUACUUCAGUUUUAUGGCUGCCACAUGGUUCUCUGCUUGUCUUGUCUAAUGGGCAACGCCAAUGCGUCGGUGCUCUGCCUUUGUGCCCCAUCUAAUAAUAUAUUAUGAUUAUGAUUAUUAUCUAAUUCAUGCAUAUCCUUUCUAAGUGAUUGGGUUGCCACUAUUUUACAUUACUUUUUUACAUCCUUUUUUUAUGCAUGUAUUGCUUUAUGCAAGUCUAAAAGAGGUUCUAUGACACAAUCCAUGGGUUUAUCCAAACUCAAAUCAAAUUAAAUGGUUUGGGUUGGGUAAAUCAUUAAAAUGGGUUAGAUGUGGGUUUUAUGUAAAAAACCAUUUCAUUAUGGUUUGGGUAUGGUUUACCCAUGGGUUAUGGAUAAAACCCCAACACUUAAAUUUUCAAAUGAAAUAAAUCACCAUUAAAUUUUUUACGGCUGAUCAAUUAUCAACAGUUUGAAAAUGAAAAUAACAGUAAAAAUAAAUUUAAAUUAAAUAAAUAUUGUUGUAAAUAACAUAAAUUUUUUUUCUUAUUUACAAAAAUAAUUCCUCCCACAUGGAAAGAUCAUCAUAGAAAGAGCAGGAGACUCUACUAAUGAUCAAUAAUAAUUCGGCUUGGAUUGGGUCCGAUAUGCUAGAUGUCGGCUAAUUUUUGGUUAAUAAUUGAAUGUAAUGCCCAUAUUAAGUAUUAAAACAAGAAAUAUAUAUUUUGAUAUGAGUAGAAAAAUUAAUAAUAAAAUUUUUUCUUGUAAUUAUUUAUUUUGUGAACAUUUUCUUAUAAUAAAUAUUUUGUAAUAUUUUAAAAUUAAAUGUAAAAAGUAUAGGUAAAAUAUUUUAUUAUUUAUCUUAUAAUAAAUUUUUAUUUGUCAAUCAAGUUUUCUUAUAAUAAUUUUUUUAUCAUUUUACUAAUAAUUUUCUUAUAUAUUUAUUAUAAGAAAAUUUUCAAAAAAUAAAUAAGUAUAAAAAAAUUUUAUUAUUAAUUUUUUUGUUCAUAUCAAAACAAAUAUUUCUUAUUUUUAAUGCUUUAUUUUUUAUUUAGUUUCUAUUCAUGUGAUUUAUUUAAUUUAUAAUAAAUGUAAAUAAAAGAGUAAUUAAAAAUUACCAAAACGAUAAAUAAAAACAAAUAUUGCAUAAUUAAAUAAAUAACAAGUGGCAAAAUUUAUUAUUAGAUUGUUAAUGUCAUGUUUGUGAAAGUUUAUUAUUAAAGUGUACGUUCUUAUUUAUUGAGAAAUAAUAAUUUUUGUGAUUAAACUUUAUUUUGAUUUUCUAGUAUUCUUUAAUUUAAGGAUUAAGUUAUUGUAAAAUUUAUAAUUUUUAUCCACUAUAUUUUUUAUAUUUUAAUAUCAAUUUAAUAAUUAAUAACAAUUAAUAAUUAUUAUAAUUUUGAUAUAAUUAAAUUUUAUUAAAAUAAAAAUUAUUUUGAUAAUAAAAUUCAAACCAAACCCAAACCAAACUCAAAUGGUUUGGUUUGGUUUGGGUUAAAAAUAUUUGGGUUGGUUUGGGUUGGAUCCAAAUUUUUAUGGUUUGGUUUGGGUUGACUUAAAAUCCAACCCAAACCAACCCAUGCCCACCCCUAGAUAGGGUCAUACAAACUCAAAAAAGUAAGCACCUCUUUCUUUUUAUAUGCAUUUAAUUUUUGACCUACUUGGUGUGCUAGUGUUAUGGUGUAAAGACAAGAUUGGAUCUGUAAUCUCAAAACAAAAUUUAGUGGGUGAUGUCAUUGUGCAAUAUUGUCACGAGCCUUCUGGUUGAUUCAUAAUGUCGGCAUUAUUUAUAGAACAUUAUAGAAUAUAAAAUAAAUUUACGAAAUUAUAUUUGAUAGUGAACUGUUUUAUGGGAUCCCCUAUCUUACAUGCAUGUAAGAUACAUGUCUCUCACAUGAAUAGUGUGUGGGUCCCACAUAUACACUAUUCAUGUGAGAGGCAUGUAUCUUACAUGCAUGUAAGAUAGAGUUUGCCCUGUUUUAUUGAUCUUUGUGCAUGAGACUCAGUUUUCUUAACACCAAGAGAUUCCAUUUGUCGGCUCAAUAAUUUAUGAAGGUGAGUUUGUAUAUUAUAUAGAUCAUGCGAAUUGCGACCGUCUCUUAAAAGGUGGCAUUUGUUGGAUUCCUUGUACAUUUUAGGUGUUUUUGAUAUACUAUAUUUUAUUAUAAUGUAAUAUAAUAUAAAGUUUUGUAAUGUUUGGUAUUAUAUCGUACAUUAUUAUAUAUAAUAUUAUUUAUAUUAAAUUAAUUUUUUAUAAUUAUAAAUAUCUUAAAAAUUUUAUAGUUUAUAUUUAUUAUUUAAAUUUAUAAAUAUAAAUAAAAUUAUUCACCAACGAUCACCGUGAACCAUUGCAAAUUGCUUCGGGCAUUCAUAUUUUGAUAAUUUUUUUUAAACUUCAAUUCUAGUGCUAUUAGAAUCCUUGUCAGCGGAUCGGAUCUAUACAACGAGUGAGCAAAAGCUUUGAUUCUGCUAUUACAUAUGCUAUCGAGUAAUUCCAAUGAUAAAGACUCCAUUGGUACCAAAAUUGAUGUCAAAGAAUGCUAAAAUAAUAUUAUUGGUGGUGGAUUGUGGUGGUCAGCAUUCGAAUUUAUUGUUUUAUAAACUAAUAAUAAAUAAAUUAAAUAUAUUGUAAUUGAUUAAAUAAUUCUACGUUUUAAAAGUCAGCAAUAUAUCUUAGUCACGGUGGGAUUGUAUAUCAUUACUUUAUGGGCCCAGCAUUACUUUGAUAUUGCGGCAAAAGAUGCAUUAAGGCCUUCGGUUAAUGUUGCUCAAUGCAAAUUUAAUAUAGAAAGCAGAGUCAUUUGAAUCUUUCAUUAAACACAACAUAGCAAGCCAAAAGAAGAAAGAUUCAAUGGAUGUACUUGGAGAUUCUCACAUUCAUCAAAAGAAAGGAAGAAGACUGAUACUCUUCCCACUGCCUUUACAAGGCCACAUAAACCCAAUGCUUCAGCUUGCAAACAUUCUCUAUUCAAAAGGCUUUUCAAUCACCAUAAUCCACACCAACUUCAACUCCCCGAAUCCCUCAAACUACCCUCACUUCACCUUCUGUUCAAUCGAAGACAGCUUGUCAGAAACUGAAGCCUCUACCGCGGAUUUAGUGGCUCUUCUUUCACUACUUAAUGUUCAGUGUGUUGUGCCAUUUCGGAAUU
RNAcentral lists this long non-coding RNA (7000 nucleotides) under Citrus sinensis (sweet orange). RNAcentral's name for it is "long non-coding RNA (CSIN_LNC003983)". The record is from RNAcentral. Lineage: Eukaryota; Viridiplantae; Streptophyta; Magnoliopsida; Sapindales; Rutaceae.